Molecule: ribosomal RNA, 459 nt
Filed under: uncultured bacterium
Lineage: Bacteria
Description: bacterial SSU rRNA
Rfam family: Bacterial small subunit ribosomal RNA
Source: RNAcentral
GAUGAACGUUGGCGGCGUGCCUAAUACAUGCAAGUCGAACGGAGACGGUAGCAAUACGGUCUCAGUGGCGAACGGGUGAGUAACGCGUUGGUGACCUGCCCCGAAGUGUGGAAUAACAGAUCGAAAGAGCUGCUAAUACCGCAUAAUAUCCAGAGGAUUAGAUGCCUUUGGAUUAAAGGAUUUAUUCGCUUCGGGAGGGGCCUGCGUCCCAUCAGCUAGUUGGUAAGGUAAUGGCUUACCAAGGCGAUGACGGGUAGGGGACCUGAGAGGGUGGCCCCCCACAAUGGAACUGAAACACGGUCCAUACACCUACGGGUGGCAGCAGUAGGGAAUAUUAGUAAUGGGCGAAAGCCUGAACUAGCAACGCCGCGUGUGCGAAGAAGGCCUUGGGUCGUAAAGCACUUUUUGAGAGGAUGAGGAAGGACGGUACUCUCAGAAUAAGUCUCGGCUAACUACGUG